CCUGAAUCGCGAACAGUAUGAAAGUGCUCCUUUACUUUAUGGGAGAACCUAUGCGUCCGAACCGGAGUAUGUGCCCGAAGGAGACUAUUACAAGGUAAAGACAGAAAAAGGUAGUGCCAUCUAUCGGCCGGAUAAGAAAGAAGGCAAGUAUAAAAUUAUUCGCUAUAAGGAAGAUGUGUGCUACACUCAAAAUAUGUUGUUUCCGCGAAUGUGGAAUGAUCGUUCGGCCGCUUCUUACAAAGGAUGGUCCGGUGGAGGUGCGAAUGAGGCUCCUACACAAAAAGAGAACCUGACUUAUUUUAUCACAUACCAACUCAAUUACAUGUACUGGCGCUAUUUCCUAUGGAAUUUUGUCGGACGACAGAAUGAUAUUCAAGGAAGCGGUGAACCGGAACAUGGUAACUGGAUUACAGGAAUUUCCUGGCUUGAUAAUCUGCGACUGGGGGAUCAAAAACUUUUGCCGGAAUCUUUGCGUGAGAACAAAGGUCACAAUGUGUUCUAUGGUUUACCAUUAUUAUUAGGAUUACUCGGUAUCUAUUGGCAAUGGACACGUGGGAAAAAAGGCAAGCAGCAAUUCAGUGUCUUAUUUUUCCUUUUCUUUAUGACGGGAUUGGCUAUUGUGCUCUAUCUGAAUCAGACUCCCGGACAACCCCGUGAACGGGAUUAUGCGUAUGCAGGUUCGUUUUAUGCGUUCGCUAUCUGGAUUGGAAUGGGAGCCGCCGGAUGCUGUGACAUGCUUCGCAGGAAACAGGCAAAAAUCCUCCCAGUCGGCUUACUUAUGCUGCUUUGCCUGUUUGUCCCCAUACAAAUGGCAAGCCAGACUUGGGAUGACCACGAUCGAAGCAACCGGUAUACCUGUCGUGACUUUGGAGCUAAUUAUCUGAUGACACUUCCCGACAAAGGAAAUCCGAUCAUAUUCUGUAACGGGGAUAAUGAUACGUUCCCCUUGUGGUAUAAUCAGGAUACGGAAGAAGUACGCAGAGAUGUACGUAUCUGCAAUUUAAGUUAUGCGCAGACCGACAGCUAAGGUCCCAAAGUGUGUGUUAAGUGGAAAAGGAUGUUAGGUUUCUAAGACAACUAGGAUGUUGGCUCAGAAGCAGCCACUCAUUUAAAGAGUGCGUAACAGCUCACUAGUCGAGAGGUCUAGCGCCGAAAAUGUCCGGGGCUAAAACACACCACCGAAGCUACGGAAUUACCUAUGGUAAUUGGUAGAGGAGCAUUCUGUAAGGACGAAGCACAAUUGAAAGAGAGUGUGGACGAAACAGAAGAGAGAAUGCCGGAAUGAGUAGCGAGAUAUAUGUGAGAAUCAUAUAGGUCGAAUGUCUAAGGUUUCCUGGGUAAAGCUGAUCUGCUCAGGGUAAGUCGGGACCUAAGGUGAGGGCGAGAGCCGUAAUCGAUGGACAACAGGUAGAAAUUCCUGUACUACGUAUAAUCAGAACUGUGGGGACGCAGGAGGAUAGGAAAACCGGAGAAUGGAAAUAUCCGGCUAAGUACAAAGGUGUGAGUGAUAGGCAAAUCCGUCACUAUAAGCUGAAGUACGAAUGGGAGCGAAGAAAAGUAGCGAAGUUUCUGAAUCCACACUGUCAAGAAAAGCCGCUAUUGCGUUAUACGUACCCGUACCGCAAACCGACACAGGUAGACGAGGAGAAAAUCCACAGACCGACGGGAGAAGUGUUGUUAAGGAACUCGGCAAAAUGACCCCGUAACUUAGGGAUAAGGGGAGCCAACGCAAGUUGGUCACAGAAAAGAGGCUCAAGCGACUGUUUAGCAAAAACAUAGGUCUAUGCGAAACCGUAAGGUGAUGUAUAUGGGCUGACACCUGCCCGGUGCUGGAAGGUCAAAAGGAGAGGUUAGCGUAAGCGAAGCUUUGAAUUCAAGCCCCAGUAAACGGCGGCCGUAACUAUAACGGUCCUAAGGUAGCGAAAUUCCUUGUCAGGUAAGUUCUGACCCGCACGAAAGGCGUAACGAUUUGGGCGCUGUCUCAGCUGUAGACUCGGUGAAGUCUUAGUACCUGUGAAGAUGCAGGUUACCCGCGACUAGACGGAAAGACCCCAUGGAGCUUCACUGCAGGUUGAUAUUGGGAUUUGAUGCAGCAUGUACAGGAUAGGUAGGAGGCAAAGAGAUGGAUACGCCAGUAUUCAAGGAGCCGCUGUUGGGAUACUACCCCUGUUGUAUUGGAUUUCUAACCGGACGACGUAGAGCCGUUGACGGGACAGUGUCAGUCGGGCAGUUUGACUGGGGCGGUCGCCUCCCAAAGAGUAACGGAGGCGCCCAAAGAUACCCUCAGCUUGGAUGGAAACCAAGCGCAGAGUGCAAAGGCAAAAGGGUGUUUGACUGCGAGACCCACAAGUCGAGCAGGGACGAAAGUCGGGCUUAGUGAUCCGGCGGUGCUGAAUGGAAAGGCCGUCGCUCAACGGAUAAAAGCUACCCUGGGGAUAACAGGCUGAUCUCCCCCAAGAGUUCACAUCGACGGGGAGGUUUGGCACCUCGAUGUCGGCUCAUCGCAUCCUGGAGCUGAAGUCGGUUCCAAGGGUUGGGCUGUUCGCCCAUUAAAGCGGUACGCGAGCUGGGUUCAGAACGUCGUGAGACAGUUCGGUCC
This 2599-nucleotide ribosomal RNA is filed under the name human gut metagenome. Its description in RNAcentral is "bacterial LSU rRNA". The stretch from base 766 to 2599 matches the Rfam family "Bacterial large subunit ribosomal RNA". The record is from RNAcentral.